Molecule: non-coding RNA, 89 nt
Organism: Mycena leptocephala
Lineage: Eukaryota; Fungi; Basidiomycota; Agaricomycetes; Agaricales; Mycenaceae
Source: the annotation of a GenBank genome assembly
GCCUCGGUAGCGGAUGGUCCGCAUCUGCAACAAUUCACAAGUGUUCUCAUGUUGCGCAGACGUAGCUCGUUCGAUUCGAGCCCGAGGCA